GAAAUGUUAUAAGUAGUGUGAAUUGCAGAAUUCCGUGAAUCAUCGAAUCUUUGAACGCACAUUGCGCCUCCUGGCAUUCCAGGGGGCAUGCCUGUUCGAGCGUCAUUAAAAAGCCUUCAGACGAGCUUGGCUCGCCUGGUCCGAGUCCUGAGGGAAUGGUCACCUUCCGGUUGCCCAUCCCCGAAAUCCAACGGCGGACAACCCCCGGUGGAGCUGCUGGCGUGGUGAGGAAUACUUUCGCCAGUGGUCUCCGAGACAGUCCUGCCGAUUGGACCCCCCCACACAUUCAAACGGUUGACCUCAGGUCAGGUAGGGAUACCCGCUGAACUUAA
Molecule: unclassified non-coding RNA, 332 nt
Filed under: uncultured fungus
Lineage: Eukaryota; Fungi
Description: sequence contains ITS1
Rfam family: 5.8S ribosomal RNA (bases 1-105)
Source: RNAcentral